Molecule: long non-coding RNA, 2305 nt
Filed under: Helianthus annuus (common sunflower)
Lineage: Eukaryota; Viridiplantae; Streptophyta; Magnoliopsida; Asterales; Asteraceae
Description: hypothetical non coding rna
Source: RNAcentral
AUGCAACUCUUGAAAGCUAAAUUUCCCACCAAACCAAAGAUAAUUAACAGAAGCUAGUGCAGAGAAAUUAAGGAACAAAUGGCAAAGAAUAUGGGAGUGAAGAUGCAUUUUCGGAAGCACCAUGUAUGUAUUCUAGAUGCUUGAUUCUUGGUGCUUAACUCUAGACACUUGAUUCUUAAUACUAUGAAACUAGAUUCUUGAAUCUUGACACUUGAUUUUGAUACUUGAUUCUUGAGGCUUGAUUCUUGAUACUUGAUACUUGGAAACUAGAUUCUUGACUCUUGAUACUUGAUACUUGGUGCCUGACUCUUGAGACUCGUGCAACUUUAGACUUGGUUGAACGAGAGACUGGAGACUUGUCACUGGCGGAAACUAUGAAACUUGGAAACUUUGUGUUAUAAUCUAGUUAUGUGAUACUAUUACACAACAAUACGCAACGCAACGCUUAAUCUAACUCGCAAAACGAACCAAAGACGGAAAGUGGAACGGAUGGGAUGGGAUUGACCGAAUGGUAAUCCGAUCGGAUGACCAUCUGAUCGGAUAACCAUCCGAUCGGAGGGCCACUAGAUCGAAAUUCCAUCCGAUCCACUGCCACACCGCCUUAUCUCCACUCUUGCACUAUAAAUAGGACAUGUCACAUCAUUCUUCACUGAUGUGACAGCCUCCUUCGACCAGACGCACACUCUCUCACUUUUCUUUCAUUUCUCGGUGAUUUCGGUAUGUUUUCCACUAGAUUCUUGUACAUCUUUGAUCUAUACACUAUCCUCUACAUGAUUCUUCUUUGAAAUAACACUUUUCACCGUGAAAUCUCUAAGAUUUCAGCUCUUGAGGGUGACUUCAUCAUGCGGUUUGUACAAACAAUGGUGUGAUGUCAUUCCAGUCAAAGAUCUAGCUCAGAUCUAAGGGAUUUCAUGUGUUAUUACACCAAAUCUUUGCUAAAAUCUAGACUUUUCUCAGCUACAACUCAUGUUUCCUUCAUCUUUUCUUAAACUUUUACUUAAAACGGUGGAAUCCGGAUCUAAACGGACUGUAGACUUGAUGAUUAGUCUGGAGACGGCUUAGAAAUGGAUCAUCGCCGGAAAAGAUGGCUGGAGUACGGGUUCCGACAUGAACACCGUCAAGAACAGACACCCGAACGAACAGGGUGAUUCCCAUCCGAUCAGGCAGGCUGAGCUUUGACGUGUUUACAGUUGUCUCAAUACGUACCAUGUCGUCACCGUUAAACCAGAAACUUAGAAACUUUGCAAGGUUGCAAAAGAAACAAGGUCACUGCGAACGAAUGGCGAUCCAAUUGGACUGUCAUCCGAUCGAAGUGGUAAUGUGACUUACAACCUUCAACACUUGAACUAGUUUUGAAUCAGAAACUUGAAGUUUGAAACUUGCACUCGAAGGGUCAUUCGACCGAACGACCAUCCGAUCAGAUGACCAUCCGAUCGAAAGACCUGGUUUGAACACUUAGAAUAAAAGUUGAACUUUUGGAACUCAAUGAUUGGAUCGAAUGACCAUCCGUCCCAACCACAUGUGUCAUUCGACUGGAUGACCAUCCGUUCGGAUGGCCAUCCAAUCAGAUGACUGAUCCGACACUUUGCAAAUCUCGUUACUCUGUCCGACACUUAUCUAUUGUACUCUAAAUCAGGCUAAUCCUAAGAGCUCCCUUUGAUCCAAUAAUAGUGUUACUGUUAAGCAAUCACUGUGAGUAUACUCGAUCCCUUUUUGUUUUAAACUUUGGGAUGCAACAUGUAUUCUAUGAAACUUGACACUUGAUACUUUUGAAUCUAAACUCUAUCCUCAGUGAAUGUGAAACUUGAUACUUAUGAAUUUUGAUUCUUGAUUCUUUAUGCUAUGUGAACGUUUAAUCCCUGUGUGUAGUUCCUCCUUAACAAUAGUAGCGCUAUAGGAAGAUGCACCUCCCUGUUAUUCUUGGGGGUAUUGUUAAAAGGAUUCUAGUUUUCCUUGAGUCUUGGGAAAACACCUAAAGCAACGGGACACUUGGGCUAUCAAUUUGGACUGCAAACACUAGCAUGAUUGAAACUAUUUUUAUCGUUUACAUGAUGGAUAUGAGUUCUUUUAAUCUAUUAUGCUAUAUAUUCAAACUUGUAUACUCGCCAGUACGUUUUGUACUGACUUUAUUUUAAUACAUGUUGUAGGCUGAUAGGAUGCUAUGAGUCAAGAAACAUGCUAGGAUGCUGCUUAGAAACACAUCAUAGCUAAACUAUAGUCUUUUGAACAGUAGUUGAAAUGGUUGUAUUUGAUAUUCUACGGUUGUGACUUUUGAUGUUUAGACAAUGUUUGAAUCUACUUAAUU